UCUUAGGGGGAACCUGUUGCAUUUUGUUAGUGGCGCCCAGGGCAAAAAUGUGAUAUCCCUGAUGUCAGAAAUCUCUUUUGGCUUUCAAAUAGAAAAUUGGUUUCAAAAUUAAAUGGUUUCAAAUGGCUGCCAUCUCAAAAAGAACGAACACAUCAGAAACAAUAUGAAUAGCUGCCGGUUGAAAAGAUAAAGCUUUAUUUGGAUCAAUGAAACAAGAUCCCAGCGACCAGAGGUAGCAGAAACCAAACAAACUCAGACAAGAAACACAGAAAUGUACAGGAAAUCAGAAAGCCUAAAAAAUACAUCAAGUUUAUCUAAACGUGAGAGUUAAUGGAACAUUAUCAUUAAAGUGCAACAGUCAUGCGGAAAUUCCCUCUUAAAGGGGUACUGC
Molecule: long non-coding RNA, 391 nt
Organism: Hyla sarda
Lineage: Eukaryota; Metazoa; Chordata; Amphibia; Anura; Hylidae
Exons: 3
Source: RefSeq, a predicted model, not a curated record